UGGUCAAGUUAUUAAGGGUGCAGGGCGGAUGCCUUGGCACUAGGAGCCGAUGAAGGACGUGAUAAGCUGCGAUAAGCUUCGGGGAGUUGCACGUAAACUUUGAUCCGAAGAUUUCCGAAUGAGGAAACUCACUUAGAGUAAUGUCUAAGUAUCAUUAAGUGAAUACAUAGCUUAAUGAGGGGAACUCAGGGAACUGAAACAUCUAAGUACCUGAAGGAAGAGAAAGAAAUUCGAUUCCGUAAGUAGCGGCGAGCGAACGCGGAUUAGCCCAAACCAAUAAAGUUUUCUUUAUUGGGGUUGAGGACAUACCACAUAUAAGAGGUCAUUAUAGACGAAGAAGUUUGGAAAAACUCAUCAUAGAAGGUAAUAAUCCUGUAGUCAAAAUAAUAAUUCUUUAGGUAUGAUCCAGAGUACCACGGGACACGUGAAACCCUGUGGGAAGCAGGAGGGACCACCCUCCAAGGCUAAAUACUACCUAGUGACCGAUAGCGUAUAGUACCGUGAGGGAAAGGUGAAAAGAACCCCGGGAGGGGAGUGAAAUAGAACCUGAAACCCUGCACUUACAAGCUGUGGAAGCACAUUUCUUGUGUGACCGCGUACUUUUUGUAGAACGGGCCAACGAGUUACGUUAAGUAGCAAGGUUAAGCACUUAAGGUGUGGAGCCGUAGCGAAAGCGAGUUUUAACUGAGCGUUCAGUUACUUGACGUAGACCCGAAACCGGGCGACCUACCCAUGAGCAGGAUGAAGCGAAAGUAAAAUUUCGUGGAGGUCCGAACCCACGAGCGUUGAAAAGCUCGGGGAUGACUUGUGGGUAGCGGUGAAAUUCCAAUCGAGCCCGGAGAUAGCUGGUUCUCCCCGAAAUAGCUUUAGGGCUAGCCUCAAGGUGAGAGAUACGGAGGUAGAGCACUGAAUGUCCUAGGGGGUAUUGCACCUACCGAAGACUAUCAAACUCCGAAUGCCGUCAUCUUAUACUUGGGAGUCAGACUGUGGGUGAUAAGAUUCAUAGUCGAAAGGGCAACAGCCCAGAUCGUCAGCUAAGGUCCCUAAAUGUAAGUUAAGUGGUAAAGGAUGUGGGAUUGCACAGACAACCAGGAUGUUGGCUUAGAAGCAGCCACUCAUUCAAAGAGUGCGUAAUAGCUCACUGGUCGAGUGAUCCUGCGCCGAAGAUUUCCGGGGCUAAAACUUACUACCGAAGCUACGGCAUCAAUAAUGAUGGGUAGGGGAGCUUCCCAUACGGGUUGAAGCAUGACCGUAAGGACAUGUGGACAGUAUGGGAGUGAGAAUGUUGGCAUGAGUAGCGAGAUGUGGGUGAGAAUCCCACAGGCCGUAAACCCAAGGUUUCCAGGGGGAAGGUUCGUCCGCCCUGGGUUAGUCGGGACCUAAGCUGAGGCCGAAAGGCGUAGGUGAUGGACAACAGGUUGAUAUUCCUGUACUACCGAUAACCGUUUGAGAGAAGGGAUGACACAGUAGGAUAAGCUAAGCACACUGUUGGUUAUGUGUGCCCAAGCAUUGAGGCAGUCAAAGUAGGCAAAUCCGCUUUGAUAAUGCUAGGAUGUGAUGGGGAGCGAAAUUUAGUAGCGAAGUAGCUGAUUUCACACUGUCAAGAAAAGUCUCUAUCGAGGUUAAAGGUACCCGUACCGCAAACCGACACAGGUGGGUGAGGAGAGUAUCCUAAGGCCAGCGAGAGAACUGUUGUUAAGGAACUCGGCAAAAUGACCCCGUAACUUAGGGAUAAGGGGUGCCACCAUCAGGUGGCCGCAGAGAAUAGGCCCAAGCGACUGUUUACCAAAAACAUAGGUUUCUGCUAAGUCGCAAGACGAUGUAUAGGAGCUGACGCCUGCCCGGUGCUGGAAGGUUAAGGGGAUCUGUUAGAGCAAUCGAAGCAGUGAACUUAAGCCCCAGUAAACGGCGGCCGUAACUAUAACGGUCCUAAGGUAGCGAAAUUCCUUGUCGGGUAAGUUCCGACCCGCACGAAAGGCGUAACGAUUUGGGCACUGUCUCAACAACAGACUCGGUGAAAUUGUAAUUCCGGUGAAGAUGCCGGAUACCUGCGACAGGACGGAAAGACCCCAUGGAGCUUUACUGUAGCUUGACAUUGGGUCUUGGUACUACAUGUACAGGAUAGGUGGGAGGCUUUGAAACCAGGACGCCAGUUUUGGCGGAGCCAUCCUUGGGAUACCACCCUUGUAGUACUGGGACUCUAACCAUAGGCCAUGAAUCUGGUCUUGGGACACUGUCAGGUGGGCAGUUUGACUGGGGCGGUCGCCUCCCAAAAGGUAACGGAGGCGCUCAAAGGUUCUCUCAGUACGGUCGGAAAUCGUACGUAGAGUGUAAAGGCAAAGAGAGCUUGAUUGCAAGACAUACAGGUCGAGCAAGGAUGAAAAUCGGACUUAGUGAUCCGGUGGUUCUGCGUGGAAGGGCCAUCGCUCAACGGAUAAAAGCUACCCUGGGGAUAACAGGCUUAUCUCCCCCAAGAGUCCACAUCGACGGGGAGGUUUGGCACCUCGAUGUCGGCUCAUCACAUCCUGGGGCUGUAGUAGGUCCCAAGGGUUGGGCUGUUCGCCCAUUAAAGUGGUACGCGAGCUGGGUUCAGAACGUCGUGAGACAGUUCGGUCCCUAUCCGUCGCAGGCGUAGGAAAUUUGAGAAGACCUGUCCUUAGUACGAGAGGACCGGGAUGGACGUACCUCUGGUGUACCAGUUGUCCUGCCAAGGGCAUGGCUGGGUAGCUAUGUACGGAAUGGAUAAGCGCUGAAAGCAUCUAAGCGCGAAGCCAACUUCAAGAUAAGAUUUCCCACCGCAAGGGUAAGACCCCAGAAAGACUAUCUGGUUGAUAGGUCGAAGGUGUAAGUGCAGCAAUGUAUUUAGCUUAUCGAUACUAAUAGGUCGAGGACUUGACCAAU
RNAcentral lists this ribosomal RNA (2901 nucleotides) under Clostridioides difficile. RNAcentral describes it as "23S ribosomal RNA". It matches the Rfam family "Bacterial large subunit ribosomal RNA". Lineage: Bacteria; Bacillati; Bacillota; Clostridia; Peptostreptococcales; Peptostreptococcaceae. The record is from RNAcentral.